GACGAACGCUGGCGGCGUGCCUAAUACAUGCAAGUAGAACGCACAGUUUAUACCGUAGCUUGCUACACCAUAGACUGUGAGUUGCGAACGGGUGAGUAACGCGUAGGUAACCUGCCUGGUAGCGGGGGAUAACUAUUGGAAACGAUAGCUAAUACCGCAUAAUAUUGAUUAUUGCAUGAUAAUUGAUUGAAAGAUGCUAUUGCAUCACUGCCAGAUGGACCUGCGUUGUAUUAGCUAGUAGGUGAGGUAACGGCUCACCUAGGCGACGAUACAUAGCCGACCUGAGAGGGUGAUCGGCCACACUGGGACGGAGACACGGCCCAGACUCCUACGGGAGGCAGCAGUAGGGAAUCUUCGGCAAUGGACGAAAGUCUGACCGAGCAACGCCGCGUGAGUGAAGAAGGGUUUCGGAUCGUAAAGCUCUGUUGUAAGAGAAGAACGGGUGUGAGAGUGGAAAGUUCACACUGUGACGGUAUCUUACCAGAAAGGGACGGCUAACUACGUG
Molecule: ribosomal RNA, 505 nt
Filed under: uncultured bacterium
Lineage: Bacteria
Description: partial 16S ribosomal RNA
Rfam family: Bacterial small subunit ribosomal RNA
Source: RNAcentral